This is a non-coding RNA of Chlorocebus sabaeus (green monkey), 11279 nucleotides long. The record is from RefSeq and is a predicted model, not a curated record. Lineage: Eukaryota; Metazoa; Chordata; Mammalia; Primates; Cercopithecidae.
UGCGCGGCGCCCGCCCUCCCUCAGCCAGAGCAGCUCGCCUGAGGCUGCUGAGGCGGCGGCCGGUGUAGUGGUCUCGGUACCUGUUCCAACCGCGGCUCGCGGGCCCGUGCCGGUCCCGGUCCCCGGCGCGGUCGUCCGAGCCCCUGCGGCGGGCGGGCGAUGGUGCGGCGGAGCGCGCGGACGCGGGCGGCGCGGCGGCGGGCAUGAAGGAGGAUGGAAGGGCAGGACGAGGUGUCGGCGCGGGAGCAGCACUUCCACAGCCAAGUGCGGGAGUCCACGAUAUGUUUCCUUCUUUUUGCCAUUCUCUAUGUUGUUUCCUACUUCAUCAUCACAAGAUACAAGAGAAAAUCAGAUGAACAGGAAGAUGAAGAUGCCAUCGUCAACAGGAUUUCGUUGUUUUUGAGCACGUUCACCCUCGCAGUGUCCGCUGGGGCUGUUUUGCUUUUGCCUUUCUCAAUAAUCAGCAAUGAAAUCCUGCUUUCUUUUCCCCACAACUACUAUAUUCAGUGGCUAAAUGGCUCCCUGAUUCAUGGUUUGUGGAAUCUUGCUUCCCUUUUUUCCAACCUUUGUUUAUUUGUAUUGAUGCCCUUUGCCUUUUUCUUUCUGGAAUCAGAAGGCUUUGCUGGCCUGAAAAAGGGAAUCCGGGCCCGCAUUUUAGAGACUCUGGUCAUGCUGCUGCUUCUUGCAUUGCUCAUUCUUGGGAUAGUGUGGGUGGCUUCAGCACUCAUUGACAAUGAUGCUGCAAGCAUGGAAUCUUUAUAUGAUCUCUGGGAGUUCUAUCUACCCUAUUUAUAUUCCUGUAUAUCAUUGAUGGGAUGUUUGUUACUUCUCUUGUGUACACCAGUUGGCCUUUCUCGUAUGUUCACAGUGAUGGGUCAGUUGCUAGUGAAGCCAACAAUUCUUGAAGACCUGGAUGAACAGAUUUAUAUCAUUACCUUAGAGGAAGAAGCACUCCAGAGACGACUAAAUGUAAAGUACCUGAUUUGGAUUUGCGGAUUUCCCCGGUUAGAUGAGACUGGCAGAACUGCUCAGCAGAGUUCUUGGCUGUCCAUGAAACUCACAGGGCUGUCUUCAUCGGUGGAAUACAACAUAAUGGAGUUGGAACAAGAACUUGAAAAUGUAAAGACUCUUAAGACAAAAUUAGAGAGGCGAAAAAAGGCUUCAGCAUGGGAAAGAAAUUUGGUGUAUCCCGCUGUUAUGGUUCUCCUUCUUAUUGAGACAUCCAUCUCGGUCCUCUUGGUGGCUUGUAAUAUUCUUUGCCUAUUGGUUGAUGAAACAGCAAUGCCAAAAGGAACAAGGGGGCCUGGAAUAGGAAAUGCCUCUCUUUCUACGUUUGGUUUUGUGGGAGCUGCACUUGAAAUCAUUUUGAUUUUCUAUCUUAUGGUGUCCUCUGUUGUCGGUUUCUAUAGCCUUCGAUUUUUUGGAAACUUUACUCCCAAGAAAGAUGACACAACUAUGACAAAGAUCAUUGGAAAUUGUGUGUCCAUCUUGGUCUUGAGCUCUGCUCUGCCUGUGAUGUCGAGAACACUGGGAAUCACUAGAUUUGAUCUACUUGGCGACUUUGGAAGGUUUAAUUGGCUGGGAAAUUUCUAUAUUGUAUUAUCCUACAAUUUGCUUUUUGCUAUUGUGACAACAUUGUGUCUGGUCCGAAAAUUCACCUCUGCAGUUCGAGAAGAGCUUUUCAAGGCCCUAGGGCUUCAUAAACUUCAUUUAUCAAAUACUUCAAGGGAUUCAGAAACAGCCAAGCCUUCUGUAAAUGGGCAUCAGAAAGCACUGUGAGAUGCACAGACGGCGUCUUCUACAACCAAGAGACCUGAGAACUCCAGACUCAUGACAUUCCUGUCCCAUGUAGAAGCAUUUCCAUUUCAACCUUGGCUCCUCUUCAGAACCUAGACCUAUCAGUGCCAUUUUUUUUCAUAGUCUACGAAGAACUUGGCUAUGGCUGACCUUUUUUUAAAUUUAACUUUCUGAUAGACCCUGUAGUUUCCAGUUAAAUGCAGAUUCCUUAGAGCCGUAUAGAACAGCGCAUUCUUCUGUAGACAUUUUCUCAUAUCGGUAAAUACAGUCAUCCAUAUGAAAAAAAUUGUUUUCACCUGAUAUCAAAAUGUUAGAAAAGGCAGACUCUGGGACUUCUAAAGAUUUACUUAAAUCCCAUGAUAUACUUUAUUCAGAAUGUAGAAGCCGACCUGAAAUGCAUCCUUGGUACUAAGUGAAGCUUCUUCAGAAAAUGCAUUUUUCAAAUGCAAUAGGAACUAUUUGUAGAUAUCAUUAUUGCAGUGUGCGUUGGAGCUGUAAUGGUUGCAGUUAUGUUUCUUAUUUCCCUAAAAGCAAAAAGCAUAGUUUCUGAUUUAUGUUUCAGAAUGAUACUGAUUAGACUUUGAGCCAAGACGAAAAUACUAAAUUCUUUUAAACCUGGAGCCUUAGAGAGCCACAGGAAUAUCUUCUGUUGUACAGUCUAAUAAGCUAUGGUAGGAAGUAUCAUGUAAUCACAGUUUAAUGACAGUUUAUGUAUAUGAUUCAGUAUUACCUCUGAUAACAUAGUUGCCAGUGUUUAAUACACUUGUAACUUGGAUUUUUGCCUUAUAGGCUAUAUGUAUACGCAGUUUUUUAAAGCAUUUUUUUCAAAGAUCACUUAAUUCCCCGUGCUUCUGUAAUGCUUAUGAAAACUAUAAAUGGCGAGUGGUGGAAACUCCUUCUUUCCUCAUAGUCCUCGGGCUCUGGUUACUUUUGCAUAUGCCAUUUGAAGCCUCCAACUUUUACCAGUUUAACAUCCAAAGUUCACAGCAUCACCAUUCAUGGUGUAAGAACAGUUUUGCAGUAUAACACGAUCUGAUAAUCAUUCAGUUAUUCAAUUGUAAAUAAUUACUGGGAUGGUUUCUUGGCUUUACUGAAUAAAAUCUAUGAAAUUGUACUCUGUGUUAACCACCCACUAGGAUAGAAUGCCGGAAACUGUGCAUGCAAAAAUACGAGAUGGGUCCAUUUGUACACAAUUCGUAGUUAUGCAAUCUACUAUAUAAAUAUGUUCACAUGCACUAUGUGUAUGAAAAUAGAUUGUCUGUGUUCAGACGAAAGUAAAACAUUUUUUUCAAAUUGUUAAAUUUAAAGGUUUUCUGGGAGAAAUUUAUGAAAAACAGGCUGUGUCUAUUUGACAUCAGAAAUUUCCACUUAAACCAAAAUAAUGAGAAACUUUAUUCUGUAUAUUUAUAACCUUCGUUGAGUAUACUUCCCCCUUAUUUAUACCUCUGCAUUUCCUUCUGCGCUUCACAUCUUUCUAAAAUGCAGCUUGGUUUUAAAAUAAAAGAACAUUCAUUUUGUGAUUCUAAACAACCUUCAGUAAAUACCACCAGUAUGGUACUGGUGAAUUUCUCAGCAUAAAAUCGACGUACCUAAAAAGUUAAUAAAAUUCAGCUCUUUUCCAAUUUCAUUGUUACGCCUAUUGAAGUAUUAAUAGCAAGGUUUCAUUUUUCAUGAAACUUGGAAUCCGUACUUUGAGCAGACUAAGUCAAGGGAAGAACAGAAAGAAACUCAGGAGUAGAGUAAUGUCAUUUUUCGCUUACACCACUUUCAGGGCACAUCCAAAGAGUUCCUAGAUACUUGUAAAAUGUCUGAAAAAUUUUAAGUAAUAAACUUUUCAAUGUUUAGCUCAACUUUUUGUUCAUUUGGAAGUUUCUCUCCAUCCAAGGACUUAAGCCAGUUUUGGAUUUGUAAGCCCAGAGUACAGUACACUUCCUGGAGGCAUCGUCACUGCUGUUGAAACAAAGAAUGUGCAUGGGGUGGAAGGACGGCUUUGAACCUCUGGACUCAGCCUUGAGAACAAAUACAGAUUGUUACAGCCCUGGGCUGCUGCGUAAUCACAGUUCCUCAGCCUCUUCCAGAGCACAUGCCCAAGCUCUGCCUCUCCAGAGACUGACUCCAAAUGCAGGUGCUUCCGCUGGACCUAGGUUGGAGGCUGCUUUAUAUGACAGACUCCAGAAAUGGAUGCCAGAAUACAGAGGCCAAACGUUCUGAGUCCUGGACUGAACAGCACCUACUUGUGGUGUGGGCAGCUUAUCCCAGCGUUCUUGGAAGAAUAAAUGUUGUUAGCAUCUGGUUAAUUUACUGGCAGACAGAGACCUACUCGUCAGUGGCUUUCAACUCUUUGACCACAGUUAACUAUAAUCAAAUAGGAACUUCAGACAAAACCUCAUUAUUCUUGGAUAUGGUGUUCUGCUGUUACUUCUAAAAGUGCUACAGAAGUCAAGUUCCCGAGCCUGGAUUAAGAACAACAGGGCGGCCCUGAUGUUGUGAGUGGCUGUAGAGGACCAGAGUGAUGUAGGAGAAUCUAUCGUGUGUGAGCGUGAGGAGGUGCAGAGUCACCUGUGGGCUAUGCAUCUGAGAACUGAAGUUUUAUCACUUAACUAAAACCGUUUUGUGGCUGUUGUAAUAUUUUCUCCUUUGCUUUCCUUUCCUUUGAAAAGCUGUUAUUGGAUGAACGAUGCUGCUUACAAACACUGACGCUUCAGAACCAAGCACAUUUGUUACUGCUGUAGUUAUAGUGAUUCUGCAGCUUUUCUUUUACAGCAUCUUGAAGUCAUCCACAGUUGUUCUGUGUGGACUUCACAGUAGAAUCAGAGAACUAAGUGACAAGUGGAGCGUCGUCCUUCUCCUGCUGCGCACUUCCUCCUCACCACCUCUCUAGCCUAGCUUUCCUUCAGUCUGAAGAGUGAUUUACUUUUUCUUUUCUUUUUAGUCUUUACUGUGGAAUCUCAUCAAAGACUUGGAAGCAGGGAUGGUGAGAGGGGCCUGGGGUGUAGUGUGGAGGGUCGAGUGCUCUGUGAUCCCACAGUCACCCCCAGGACCACCUUGCAAAGCAGAAAAUACACACCUGUAUUUUACAGAUAAGGAACGCCACUCAGAAAGCUGCAGACAUUUUCCUGGGGUCACACUCAUAGUGGGCAGAUGAACUGGAUGGAAAUACAGGCCAGUACAACCGCAGUCUCAUUUUUUCUUUGUUUUAGGUUUUCAGUUUCUUUUUCAGUCAUGUACCCUACAGUUCUAUUAUCUUGUUGGUAAAGAUUGAUGACAGGUAUCCUCAUUCUAGAUUAUAACCUUUAUUCUUAUCAAAUGCCUCCAGUCCCACAAUUCUCUAAGAAUUCUCUUUCUGGACUUGAUACUGAUUUAAUGAUUUCCCCCAGCUCAUGGAAUGGCAGGCUCCUAAUUAAGUGGAUUUAAAGGCAAAAAGGGAUGUGUGAGAAGGCACAAGAAGUGGCUUCAUCUUGCAAGGUGACUACCAGACAACUGGGUUACAACCUGUUAAAAUAAGGGAGGAACGGCCGCAUCCCGUAGGGACUGCGGUAGCUGACCGGGAAGCCACAAUGAGGGCAGCAGACAGGGCUCUCCCUGUCCGCCGAGUCCUCCCAUGAACUCACGUUUCUGAAGGCCCCACUCUUUCUUGGUCAGUGUCCCAAUUUUCAUAGAAGAGACCUGAUGAGGCUGUGGAGUAACUGUGUAAAAGCUUGCAUUGUUUUCAUGACUUGACCUGACAAAGUGUCAUUAUCUUCAAAUUGUCCAGAGAAGCAGCUACUUCACUCGGGUCCUUUUUAUGGUUCUGUGGUUGCAACUUGGUCUCCCAAGCCUUCGAUGGGCGUGCCAUUCCAUGGCCACUUUUCAGUAAGAAAAUUACCUGAUUUUCUGUUAACUGUCACAGGCUGCCCCGGACUACUCUCAGUACUCAUGGGAUUUUCACGACCCUCAUCCUCAGUGAAGUUAGAUGACCAUUCCUGCCUUUCAUCCCACCGAUUUUCCUGACAUUCAAGAAUCUUCUUCUGGUAGCCGGAGCGGCAGAGAGGACAGGCAUGGAAAGGCGGCCUGUCUCCCACGGAGAACUCCUCCAGUGCGAGCAGACACGCAUGGUGGAACACGUGUGAGCAGGACAGGAGGGCCGUCUCUCGGGAACGCUGGCCGGCCCCCACGCGCUGACCGCCAGCAGGGGAGAGGGGCGCCAGGCAGAUGGAGCACUCGUGGGUCUCCCGGCGCAGAGCCUGCGGCACACGGGACAGGAGGAGGCCACGCAGGUUAGUUUCAUCACAGCAGAAAGUUACUUAAACUGAAACGAGCAUCAUGUGCCCCGAGACGUGGGUCUUCUAAACAUGCAGAAGUUUCAUUCUGUGUUAAAAUCACAUGAAUUAUAUAUAUAUACUGUUACUCCUGGGAAUGGUGGAAAGGGUCAGUAACCCACCUGUGACAAGCAAUUUUGAACAAAAAUACUUUCUAAAAUGCUGAACAUUGAUAUUUCCUUUGAAGUAAGCAAUCGAGAGGACUGUUUUUCAAAACACUUGACUCACUGCUACACCUUCCCACAUUUCCUCAUUUUAUGGUUUUUAAAGUAAGUUUUCCCCGCCUUGGCUUGAGUCAUCUCAUGGUCGUUUUCAGGCUGGAACUUUCAGGAAACCUGGGAAGGCGAUCUGUUCCCUGGUGUUUUCAUGGUUCACAAAACGGCAUCAUACCACAGGAACUUCCAGAAUUUCAAACCGAAGGGACCUUUGCCGUCACCCUAAAGCCCACGACGAAGGUCCUACUAUGGGUGCAGCGGCAGCUACGGCAGAGGUUACCCCGGGCCUGACACUCCAGGCUCCCCAAAGUGACCCCUCGACCUCCCGCCACAAACCGCUCCCCACAGCCCCCCCGGCUGCAGCUGAGUCCGCUGGUUGCCAGGCCGCCAGCCACGCCUACCUGUACCUGGAUUUUCUCCCAUUCCUCUUCUGUGAUCUCAUGGCCGUAUUUUUCUUCGAACUGCUGAAGAACACUGCGGUUUAUAGCCAAGCACCGAUCGAUCUCUGCAAAGAGCUCUUCGAUGUUGGUGUUGUAUGAGCACAGGAUUCGGUGGCUGAUUUCUGUGAACUGGGGAGGACAGAGGGAGGGGCACGCUCACACCCGAGCUUGGUGCAGGUUGCAGGGAAACGCUCUUGAGCCUGGCCAUCUAUUUUGGUAACCUUCCUCAUCUCUGUCUUCAAAGAAUACUUUUUAGGGAAACAGAUACAUGUCUAUCUUACUUAACUUACUUAACUAUAAAUCCAGAUAAUCUAUCUGGACAGAUGACCACAAGAACCCCUAUCUAAUGGGGUUCAGAAUACACUACCCCAAAAUAGGGCACCUUGGCACACUGAAUAUUUUAAGGAAAAAGUGUUCCUUCCCAAAGGAAUUUGAGAAAUGACAGCUGCAGGAGGGACCGUCUGACCUGUCCCCACCCCUGAAGUGGGUCACAGGACCCUCCUGUGAGAGGCCCCCUCGUCUCCAAAGAUGGAGGGAGCUGGGAGUAGGCUGAGCACACACAGGCCCUGCCGUGGUUCCCACCCACCACCCUCAGCUCACUCCCCUUGCACGCUUCCCCACGGCCUCCGCGUCCUCAGUCCAGCCUCGCAUAGAAAGCGCUCAGGCCUCACUGUCUCUUCAGGUCUCCACUGCCUUAGGAAGGCUUCCAUAUCAAAUGGACUUAUUAAGUAAAUCUCUUUUGUUAAGCUUUUUGUCUAAUUUACAGGGCUCUAGCUACAGAAUGUAGGAGGGUAGGGGAAAAGGGUAUAUUGUUUCCCUCCCCUGCUGUUUUCUUGGUUGUGAGCUUUGACCAUUAGCAGGAACACAUUUGAAAUUAAAAGUUGAGAGAAAAAUUUGAAUUUUGCAGGAUCAGCUCUGUCCCACGGAAACGUACUGUGAGCUACAUAUGUAAUUUUAAAAUUUCUGGCAGUCACAUUAAGUUUUUUAAAAGGCGAAAUUAAUUUUAAUAUCGUAUUUGACCCAACAUAUCCAAAAUAUUAUCACUUCAACGUUUAUUAAUUGAAUACAGUAUUUUGGUUUUCUGGUAUUUUUGUUUGGUUUGGUGGAGACAGCAUCUUGCUCUGUCACCCAGAAUGGAGUGCAUGGGGCCAUCAGUGCUUACUCAGCAUUGGCCUCCCAGGUUCAAGCCAUCCUACACUAUAAAGGUCUGAGUCAUUGCAGAGCGGUCACCAGUGUCACCUGAGGCUCGGAGAGGUAGCUCAUUCAGGGCCACACCAGCAGCUCCUUUUCAGGAAGCGUGAAGACGAAUGUAAAGCAAAGGAGAGUAAGGUGUGUGAAAGGCUGUGCCAAUGGUGACUGUCAGCCACGCUGCCUGCCCUCUUGCUUGUCCCUUCAAGGGCAGAGCUGUGGCUCACCCAGAGAUGACAUCUCCCAUUCCUCCAAGCCCAGGUGGGGCCACGUGGAAUAGUUCUUCCAGAUGGACGUGGCUCGUGUCUCUUCUGGGUGUUCUCCAGGCCUGGGGGGUGGCAGAUGAAGGACAGAGGGAGACAGUUCCCGAGCCCCACAGGCUGGCAUGUUGCCUGCAAGUCAGGACACCUGAACUGUCCUAUGAGAUGGAAGCUCCGGCUUUUAGUCACUGAAAUUCGAGGGUUCUUUGUCCAGCAGUUAGAAGUGCCCUGAUUCAGGAGUUACAUCUGCUUCAUGGAAUCGGGCUUGAAGCCCAAAGAAGGAUGAAAUGAAGAGGGCCCAUGGGGAUCUCACACAUUUAGAUGUGUGAUGGGGAAAAUGCAUUUUGGAUGCUCCAUGACUGUCCAGGUUUCAAAUAUUCUAGUCUACCGGAGACCUCAUGUUCUUUUUCUUUUUUUUAUUUAAUGUGGAGCAACCUGGCAGAAGGUCACCUGGCAGAAGGUCACCUGGCAGAAGGUCACCUGGCAGAACGUCAUGUGUAUUUAAGUCCCCAGACUUCAGAAGGUGCCUUUGAGGACAUGGAGUUCUCUUCCAAUUCUCUCCCUUCUGCAAAAAGAUCGUGAGACAGCGCAGGGUCGAGUGCUGUGGAGACUAUGAGCUGCCUUUGUCCUUGGGAUGUUAGAAGAAUGAGUAUUGUCUUUAAGGAUGAGAGAUCCUUUUGAGUAAAGAACAUUCUGUGAACACAGCAGGCGGUCCACAAGGGUUGGGGUUUGAAUGAAGGGGGUGGCUGAGGAUCUUCCAGGCACCUGUGUUUUGGGAUUAGCCAUACUUGGAAGCCCGGUGGAAGCUGCUUUUCUAUUUAUGAGUCAAAUUCUCUUUCACUCUGAAUGUAAUUAUAAUUGCCAAGCAGCUGUAUCUUAAUUUAGGGUCUUCAAUUGGUAAUGUUUCCUAAGGCUUUAAUUUUAGUUUUCUUUGUUCCUUGGCCUUUCAAAUAUCUAAUAAUAUCUAAAUAAAUUAUUGAAAGUAGAAGAGUUCUCUAUAUGUUGUAAAAGGAAAAAUUACUUGGAAAUAUAUACAGUUACCUCCAAUUGAUGCUUUGUAAUUCAGGUUUUCUGUAAAUUAUUUUUAAGUGUGAGAUACUUUCCACAUAUGCCUGAAAAGCAAGAUCUUUUCUUCCUUCAAAAUUAUACCUCAGAGAAAGGGUCACAUUCUAUCCAGACCUUGCGAAGUGUUUCAAGUUGUGCGGCAUGUUCUGAGAUGAGUUUUGAACAUAAAAGUACUAUUUGGAAUGAUUGAUAAAUUGAGUGAAAUGAUCAAUAUGAUCUGGGUGUUUAUUCUGAAAGUGGGGCCCAGAGCCGCAGCCUCAGCUCCCGGGAAUCUGAGAGAAAAGCAGAGCUUCAGGCUUUGCCCCAGGCCUGCCGAGGGCAGUCUGGGUGGGGGGCGGGGUAAGCCCUGCAAUCUGUGUUUUCCAAGCCCUCCAGGUGAUUCUGAGGCCCAUUCAGGUUGAAGAACCAGGGUCACAGAAGUUACCGAUCACAUUUUUUAAAUAUGCAGUUAUUUAACACAGCAUUAUUGAUCAUUCCUGAGGUGUUACCUCCCAACUCCAAGCAUGGAUAUCGCUGUGCGUGAGCUUUCAGAAGCCACUUGAGGAACACAGUAAGUGUGUGGGCCACAUAUACAUACAUACGUACGUUGAUAUGCAUUCAUGUUACAGUAUCACCUGUGUGUGCAUAUAUUCUGUCAUACGUGAGUGUCUCUCUCUCUCUACAGGAUGCCUGGAGGAAUCCCAGCUGUUCUGAUGUUACAUGAAUGAGUUACUUGCAGCUCAAGCUCCCUGCAGGAAGGGUGCCCUGCAGCAGCCGGGAACCACCUGAGUGGCCUCCACAUGCACCUGGACAGGCGCGCGGGCUGGGUGCUCACACCUGGGCCCCAGAGGUGCUGGUCAGCACCCCCUUUACAAAGAAGGCUCGCAAAGUACACAACUCCAAGUGCCGGUCCAUGAAAGCAGUUCACAUAGACUUUUAAUACAGUUAAGUCUAAUUUAUAUUUUAAUAUCUACUCACCCUACGUAACCAAAUAUCAUUUUUACCCUUAUUAACAAUACUUUUUUCUUCCUUAAUUUAAGAGGAAUUAAAGCAUUUCCUCAAUGAGAAAAACAAUUCCCUUUACAUGUAAUGGUGGUUAAAGACUAUUAAUAUGCAUUUUAAUCAAUCUAAAGUAAAUGAUUUUAACUUAAAUUUACCACUUCCAGGAUCCACACGGUGAAUGACAACAAUUUCUAAAGGGGCUGGGGUGAAAAGAGUUGGGGAAGUGCUGAGCUGCCAUGGAACAGGCACUGUGCUAGCCCGAGGGUCUGGAGGACAAACACUGGUUCCUUUAACAAAGAGCUCCCGUGUAGCAAGAAAAGCCCCGCUGACGAUGGAUGGAAUGCGAUGGAAUGUGAUGGAAUGCGUGCUGCUGUGGCACCGGACUCAGGAGACAUGGAGGAGGGAGGGAGGGAGGAAUUGCCGGGCUUCUUGGGAAGUCAGCCCUGGGCCGACCAGCUGGUGGGACAGGGACCUGGGAAGGAAGGAGUGAGGACACAGGCAGAGGGAUGACGCAGGGGGGCAAGACCCACAAGGGCAAGUCACUGGAGCCCAGCCCCACCCACCUCCCUCGACAGCCUCUGUCCUCUGGGAACACUCUCCCAGGUCACUCCCCACGGGCCACCCUCCUUCCUUCUUGUUCCUUCCUUUCCUGUGUGAAUCUUAGGGUCUGGCCAAACUUGUUGACUCAGUUCAGUGAAUCACUGUUAGAUAUUUCUGUUUCCCUGACUGCACAUGAAUGGCUAGUGGGAUCCAUGUGUCCAGGUACCUGGGCUGGAGGUGACCUCUCUCCUCUGAGCUCUCACAGGGCACUGCUGCUCCUUUCACACGUCAGCUGCCCAGUGUUAGCUUUUUCCCGUGUGCAUUGCUUAUCUCCUUGAAUGAGCGCCUUAGAUUCAGGGAAGCACCAAUUCAUCUUUGUAAGGCCCUUAGCAUUCAAGAAAUUUUGACUUUAGGUUUGCAACAGAUGAGAAAUGAGAGCAACUAUAUGCCUCAAAUGUACAUAUUCCAAAGGAGUGCAGCAGAAAUCCUUUUUGG